RNAcentral lists this ribosomal RNA (325 nucleotides) under uncultured Gammaproteobacteria bacterium. RNAcentral's name for it is "bacterial SSU rRNA". It matches the Rfam family "Bacterial small subunit ribosomal RNA", at positions 1034 to 1359 of the family's 1533-position model. The record is from RNAcentral. Lineage: Bacteria; Pseudomonadati; Pseudomonadota; Gammaproteobacteria.
ACAGGUGCUGCAUGGCUGUCGUCAGCUCGUGUUGUGAAAUGUUGGGUUAAGUCCCGCAACGAGCGCAACCCUUAUCCUUUGUUGCCAGCGGUUCGGCCGGGAACUCAAAGGAGACUGCCAGUGAUAAACUGGAGGAAGGUGGGGAUGACGUCAAGUCAUCAUGGCCCUUACGACCAGGGCUACACACGUGCUACAAUGGCGCAUACAAAGAGAAGCAACCUCGCGAGAGCAAGCGGACCUCAUAAAGUGCGUCGUAGUCCGGAUUGGAGUCUGCAACUCGACUCCAUGAAGUCGGAAUCGCUAGUAAUCGUGAAUCAGAAUGCCA